Molecule: ribosomal RNA, 390 nt
Filed under: uncultured bacterium
Lineage: Bacteria
Description: bacterial SSU rRNA
Rfam family: Bacterial small subunit ribosomal RNA
Source: RNAcentral
GACGAACGCUGGCGGCGUGCUUAACACAUGCAAGUCGAGCGGUAAGGCUCCUUCGGGAGUACACGAGCGGCGAACGGGUGAGUAACACGUGAGCAAUCUGCCCUUCACUUCGGGAUAACUCCGGGAAACCGGUGCUAAUACCGAAUACGACCACUUCAGGCAUCUGAUGGUGGUGGAAAGUUCCGGCGGUGAAGGAUGAGCUCGCGGCCUAUCAGCUUGUUGGUGAGGAAUGGCCCACCAAGGCAACGACGGGUAGCCGGCCUGAGAGGGUGACCGGCCACACUGGGACUGAGACACGGCCCAGACUCCUACGGGAGGCAGCAGUGGGGAAUCUUGCGCAAUGGGCGAAAGCCUGACGCAGCGACGCCGCGUGAGGGAUGACGGCCUCGG